Molecule: ribosomal RNA, 305 nt
Filed under: uncultured bacterium
Lineage: Bacteria
Description: partial 16S ribosomal RNA
Rfam family: Bacterial small subunit ribosomal RNA
Source: RNAcentral
ACAGCAGCCGCCACGGUAAUACGAAGGGGGCUAGCGUUGUUCGGAAUUACUGGGCGUAAAGGGCGCGUAGGCGGCCAUUCAAGUUAGAUGUGAAAGCCCUGGGCUCAACCUAGGAAUUGCAUUUGAUACUGUUUGGCUUGAGUUCGGGAGAGGUGAGUGGAAUUCCCAGUGUAGAGGUGAAAUUCGUAGAUAUUGGGAAGAACACCAGUGGCGAAGGCGGCUCACUGGACCGACACUGACGCUGAGGCGCGAAAGCGUGGGGAGCAAACAGGAUUAGAUACCCGAGUAGUCCCUGUCUCUUAUAC